GCUGGGUAGGAUGUCACACACCUGUAAUCCCAGCAACUCGGGAGGCUGAGGCAGGAGGAUCGCAAGUUCAAAGCUUCAGCAACUUUGUGAGACUCUGACUCAA
Molecule: small RNA, 103 nt
Filed under: Marmota monax (woodchuck)
Lineage: Eukaryota; Metazoa; Chordata; Mammalia; Rodentia; Sciuridae
Source: RNAcentral